UGGCUUAAGCUCUCAUCUCCCUGCCACGUGUUGGGAACCCAGGGCCUACUGAAGAAGUGAUUAGUGCACCUGAGCAGGAUAGGCAGCCUGAGCCAACCCUCCACCCUUCAGCUGCGACAGGGCCUUGCGGAUGGUGUUUAGCUCCUGGAUCGUGGCUCCUCGGGCUGCCAGCAGCUUGGAGCCAAAUUCCCAACUCUAUUUAAGACACUACACCUUCCCAGCUCCACUGCACCCGCGUUGGUAAGUGAGGAUAGGCGAAGACCAGGCUCGACUCCUUCCGGAACCAAGUGGAGCUGACAUCACGUCCGGAAUUGGCCAACCGCCAGGUGACCGGAAGUGACGUCUCCCGAGGCUGAGCCUGUGAUCUUCUCGAGGGAAAUGUUGUCGUGUAGUGCAAGAUGUCGCAAGAUUAAGAGGUUGCUGUCGCCUUGAUCGGUCUCUGUCCGGGCCAGGAACGACUUCCAAGGACCAUUUAUUUGCUUGAGACGCAAACUCACCUUUCCGCAGCUUCUGGCGCUGGAGACCGGAAGUGCUCUCUGUGGGUGGGGAUUAAUCCGGAAGUGGCUGGUCUGAGGUCUCCCUAGAGACCGAGAGCCUGGUUUAG
Molecule: long non-coding RNA, 604 nt
Filed under: Mus caroli (Ryukyu mouse)
Lineage: Eukaryota; Metazoa; Chordata; Mammalia; Rodentia; Muridae
Description: lncRNA (MGP_CAROLIEiJ_G0004237.1)
Source: RNAcentral